This 253-nucleotide ribosomal RNA is filed under the name uncultured bacterium. Its description in RNAcentral is "partial 16S ribosomal RNA". It matches the Rfam family "Bacterial small subunit ribosomal RNA", at positions 524 to 776 of the family's 1533-position model. The record is from RNAcentral.
GACGUAGGGUGCAAGCGUUGUCCGGAUUUACUGGGCGUAAAGAGCGCGUAGGCGGCUCGUUAAGUGAGAAGUGAAAGCUCUGGGCUCAACCCAGAAACCGCUUUUCAUACUGGCGAGCUGGAGUGAUGCAGAGGUGGAUAGAAUUCCCGGUGUAGCGGUGAAAUGCGUUGAUAUCGGGAGGAAUACCCGUGGCGAAGGCGGUCCACUGGGCAUCAACUGACGCUGAGGCGCGAAAGCGUGGGUAGCAAACAGG